Molecule: unclassified non-coding RNA, 793 nt
Filed under: Hevea brasiliensis (rubber tree)
Lineage: Eukaryota; Viridiplantae; Streptophyta; Magnoliopsida; Malpighiales; Euphorbiaceae
Source: RNAcentral
UUCUUUCUAAUUUCACAUCAGACCCAGAUUUGACUGUUCGAACCAAAGCACUUGGUGCAAUAUCCUCUUUAAUUCGGCACAACAAGCCAGGUAUUACUGCAUUUCGUCUGGCAAAUGGUUACGCGGGCUUGAGAGAUGCUUUGGGUUCUGGGAGUGUGAGAUUUCAAAGGAAGGCUCUCAAUUUGAUCCAUUACCUACUGCAUGAGAAUAGUUCGGAUUGCAGUGUUGUGAGUGAGCUAGGAUUCCCGCGCAUAUUGUUGCACCUUGCAUCAAGUGAAGAUGCUGAAGUACGAGAGGCUGCCCUUCGGGGCCUUCUUGAGCUUGCUCAAGACAGGAGAGGUGAGAAUAGUGGCAGGUUAGGGGAAGAAGAUGAGAAAUUGAAGCAACUCCUUGAAGAACGGAUUAACAGUAUCAGCUUGAUGUCGUCUGGAGAUCUCGAGGCAGCUAGAGAGGAGAGGCAACUGGUAGACUCACUCUGGAAUGCCCACUACAACGAACCAUCAUCUCUACGUGAGAAAGGGGCUUCUUGUUCUCCCUGGAGAAGAUUCCUUACCACCUGAUGUUGCCAGCAAGCAUUUUGAACCUCCACUCAGAGCCUGGGCCGCAAAUAGGUCGACAGAUAACAAUUCCAGUACUGAAAAGAAGCAAACUCCUUUAUUAUUAGGAUUGGGUCCUCCACCAGAGGCUGCAAAUGCCCAAGGAACUUCAAGCACCAGGGUAAAUAUUGAUAAGCAGAACAGUGCCUCGUGAUAAAUCACUAAUGUAGCACAGACCUUUUAUCAUUGUUGAAGCA